AGGGAAUCUUCCGCAAUGGACGAAAGUCUGACGGAGCAACGCCGCGUGAGUGAUGAAGGUUUUCGGAUCGUAAAGCUCUGUUGCCAGGGAAGAACGUCUUCUGGAGUAACUGCCAGGAGAGUGACGGUACCUGAGAAGAAAGCCCCGGCUAACUACGUGCCAGCAGCCGCGGUAAUACGUAGGGGGCAAGCGUUGUCCGGAAUUAUUGGGCGUAAAGCGCGCGCAGGCGGCUGUUUAAGUCUGGUGGUUAAUCCUGGGGCUCAACCCCGGGUCGCAUUGGAAACUGGAUGGCUUGAGUGCAGAAGAGGAGAGUGGAAUUCCACGUGUAGCGGUGAAAUGCGUAGAGAUGUGGAGGAACACCAGUGGCGAAGGCGACUCUCUGGGCUGUAACUGACGCUGAGGCGCGAAAGCGUGGGGAGCAAAC
RNAcentral lists this ribosomal RNA (424 nucleotides) under uncultured bacterium. RNAcentral describes it as "bacterial SSU rRNA". It matches the Rfam family "Bacterial small subunit ribosomal RNA", at positions 356 to 773 of the family's 1533-position model. The record is from RNAcentral.